Molecule: transfer RNA, 87 nt
Filed under: Verrucomicrobiota bacterium
Lineage: Bacteria; Pseudomonadati; Verrucomicrobiota
Description: Verrucomicrobia bacterium (activated sludge metagenome) tRNA-Ser
Rfam family: tRNA
About the family: Transfer RNA (tRNA) molecules are approximately 80 nucleotides in length. Their secondary structure includes four short double-helical elements and three loops (D, anti-codon, and T loops). Further hydrogen bonds mediate the characteristic L-shaped molecular structure. tRNAs have two regions of fundamental functional importance: the anti-codon, which is responsible for specific mRNA codon recognition, and the 3' end, to which the tRNAs corresponding amino acid is attached (by aminoacyl-tRNA synthetases). tRNAs cope with the degeneracy of the genetic code in two manners: having more than one tRNA (with a specific anti-codon) for a particular amino acid; and 'wobble' base-pairing, i.e. permitting non-standard base-pairing at the 3rd anti-codon position.
Source: RNAcentral
GGAAGAGUGGCAGAGUGGCCGAUUGCGUCUGUCUUGAAAACAGAAGUUGGGGUGACUCAACCGUGGGUUCGAAUCCUACCUCUUCCG